UACGUAGGGUGCGAGCGUUAAUCGGAAUUACUGGGCGUAAAGCGUGCGCAGGCGGUCUCGCAAGUCCGAUGUGAAAUCCCCGGGCUCAACCUGGGAACUGCGUUGGAAACUACGAGGCUGGAGUACGGCAGAGGGGGGUGGAAUUCCACGUGUAGCAGUGAAAUGCGUAGAUAUGUGGAGGAACACCGAUGGCGAAGGCAGCUUGCUGGGACGUUACUGACGCUAAGGCGCGAAAGCGUGGGGAGCGAACAGG
This 253-nucleotide ribosomal RNA is filed under the name uncultured bacterium. RNAcentral's name for it is "partial 16S ribosomal RNA". It matches the Rfam family "Bacterial small subunit ribosomal RNA", at positions 524 to 776 of the family's 1533-position model. The record is from RNAcentral.